Molecule: ribosomal RNA, 383 nt
Filed under: uncultured bacterium
Lineage: Bacteria
Description: bacterial SSU rRNA
Rfam family: Bacterial small subunit ribosomal RNA
Source: RNAcentral
GAUGAACGCUAGCUACAGGCUUAACACAUGCAAGUCGAGGGGCAGCAUGAAGUUUGCUUGCAAACUUUGAUGGCGACCGGCGGAUGGGUGAGUAACGCGUACCCAACCUGCCCCCUUCCCGGGCACAGCCCUUGGAAACGAGGAUUAACGCCCGAUGGCGUCUGGAUGCCGCAUGGCAUUCCGACCAAAUGCGAAGGAAGGGGAUGGGGUGCGUCCCAUUAGCUAGUUGGCGGGGGUAACGGGCCCACCCAAGGCGACGAUGGUAGGGGUUCGUGAGAGGAAGGUCCCCCACCACUGGUACUGAGACAGGGACCAGAUCCUACGGAGGCAGCAGUGAGGAAUAUUGGUCAAUAGGACGGCAAGUACUGAACCAAGCCAACGUA